This 886-nucleotide ribosomal RNA is filed under the name uncultured bacterium. RNAcentral's name for it is "bacterial SSU rRNA". It matches the Rfam family "Bacterial small subunit ribosomal RNA", at positions 8 to 916 of the family's 1533-position model. The record is from RNAcentral.
AGAGUUUGAUCAUGGCUCAGGAUUAACGCUGGCGGCGUGCCUAAUGCAUGCAAGUCGAACGGGGCGCCUUCGGGCGACACCGUGGCGGACGGGUGAGGAACACGUGGGGAACCUGCCCAUCGGUGGGGGGUAGCCCGCGGAAACGCGGGGUAAUUCCGCAUACGCUGGCCGAAGAGUAGCUUUGGUCAGGAAAGGCGUUUAGUCGCCGAUGGAGGGGCCUGCGUCCGAUUAGCUAGUUGGUGGGGUAACGGCCUACCAAGGCAGUGAUCGGUAGCUGGUCUGAGAGGACGGCCAGCCACAGGGGGACUGAGACACGGCCCCCACUCCUACGGGAGGCAGCAGCAAGGAGUUUUCCGCAAUGGGCGAAAGCCUGACGGAGCAACGCCGCGUGGGGGAUGACACCUUUCGGGGCGUAAACCCCUUUUCUUGGGGACGAAGCAGUGACGGUACCCGAGGAAGAAGGCCCGGCUAACUACGUGCCAGCAGCCGCGGUAAUACGUAGGGGCCGAGCGUUGUCCGGAGUUACUGGGCGUAAAGCGCGCGCAGGCGGCUCGUCAAGCCUGACGUGAAAGCCCCCGGCUCAACCGGGGAGGGUCGUCGGGGACUGGCGGGCUUGAGGUCGGCAGGGGCUGGUGGAAUUCCCGGUGUAGUGGUGAAAUGCGUAGAGAUCGGGAGGAACACCCGUGGCGAAGGCGGCCAGCUGGGCCGGACCUGACGCUGAGGCGCGAAGGCGUGGGGAGCGAACGGGAUUAGAUACCCCGGUAGUCCACGCAGUAAACGAUGCAGACUAGGCGUGGGGGGACUUGACCCCCUCCGUGCCGAAGCCAACGCGUGAAGUCUGCCGCCUGGGAGUACGGCCGCAAGGCUAAACUCAAGGAAUUGACGG